UGGGGAAUAUUGGACAAUGGGCGAAAGCCUGAUCCAGCCACGCCGCGUGAGUGAUGAAGGCCUUCGGGUUGUAAAGCUCUGUCGUGAGGGAAGAAGAUCUGACGGUACCUCACAAGAAAGCACCGGCUAACUCCGUGCCAGCAGCCGCGGUAAUACGGAGGGUGCAAGCGUUGCUCGGAAUUACUGGGCGUAAAGCGCACGCAGGCGGUUUAUCAGGUCGGAUGUGAAAGCCCAGGGCUCAACCCUGGAACUGCAUUCGAAACCGGUAGACUUGAGUUCGAGAGAGGGUGGUGGAAUUCCUGGUGUAGAGGUGAAAUUCGUUGAUAUCAGGAGGAACACCGGUGGCGAAGGCGACCACCUGGCUCGAUACUGACGCUCAUGUGCGAAAGCGUGGGGAGCAAACAGG
This 406-nucleotide ribosomal RNA is filed under the name uncultured bacterium. RNAcentral's name for it is "bacterial SSU rRNA". It matches the Rfam family "Bacterial small subunit ribosomal RNA", at positions 355 to 776 of the family's 1533-position model. The record is from RNAcentral.